AUUGAACGCUGGCGGCAGGCUUAACACAUGCAAGUCGAGCGGGGGAAGGUAGCUUGCUACCGGACCUAGCGGCGGACGGGUGAGUAAUGCUUAGGAAUCUGCCUAUUAGUGGGGGACAACAUCUCGAAAGGGAUGCUAAUACCGCAUACGUCCUACGGGAGAAAGCAGGGGAUCUUCGGACCUUGCGCUAAUAGAUGAGCCUAAGUCGGAUUAGCUAGUUGGUGGGGUAAAGGCCUACCAAGGCGACGAUCUGUAGCGGGUCUGAGAGGAUGAUCCGCCACACUGGGACUGAGACACGGCCCAGACUCCUACGGGAGGCAGCAGUGGGGAAUAUUGGACAAUGGGGGGAACCCUGAUCCAGCCACGCCGCGUGUGUGAAGAAGGCCUUAUGGUUGUAAAGCACUUUAAGCGAGGAGGAGGCUACUCUAGUUAAUACCUAGGGAUAGUGGACGUUACUCGCAGAAUAAGCACCGGCCAACUCUGUGCCAGCAGCCGCCGCAG
Molecule: ribosomal RNA, 501 nt
Filed under: uncultured bacterium
Lineage: Bacteria
Description: partial 16S ribosomal RNA
Rfam family: Bacterial small subunit ribosomal RNA
Source: RNAcentral